RNAcentral lists this ribosomal RNA (914 nucleotides) under uncultured bacterium. RNAcentral describes it as "bacterial SSU rRNA". It matches the Rfam family "Bacterial small subunit ribosomal RNA", at positions 8 to 916 of the family's 1533-position model. The record is from RNAcentral.
AGAGUUUGAUCAUGGCUCAGGAUGAACGCUAGCGGCAGGCUUAAUACAUGCAAGUCGUGGGGCAGCAUGAGUGUAGCAAUACAUUUGAUGGCGACCGGCAAACGGGUGCGGAACACGUACACAACCUUCCUUUAAGUGGGGAAUAGCCCAGGGAAACUUGGAUUAAUACCACGUAAUAUUAUGAAGUGGCAUCACUUUAUAAUUAUAGCUCCGGCGCUUGAAGAUGGGUGUGCGGCUGAUUAGGUAGUUGGCGGGGUAACGGCCCACCAAGCCUACGAUCAGUAACUGGUGUGAGAGCACGACCAGUCACACGGGCACUGAGACACGGGCCCGACUCCUACGGGAGGCAGCAGUAAGGAAUAUUGGGCAAUGGACGCAAGUCUGACCCAGCCAUGCCGCGUGGAGGAUGAAGGUCCUCUGGAUUGUAAACUUCUUUUCUCUGGGGCGAAAAAGGGAUAUUCUUAUCCCCCUGACAGUACCAGAGGAAUAAGCACCGGCUAACUCCGUGCCAGCAGCCGCGGUAAUACGGAGGGUGCAAGCGUUAUCCGGAUUCACUGGGUUUAAAGGGUGCGUAGGCGGGCAGGUAAGUCAGUGGUGAAAUCCCCGAGCUUAACUUGGGAACUGCCGUUGAUACUAUCUGUCUUGAAUGCCGUGGAGGUAAGCGGAAUAUGUCAUGUAGCGGUGAAAUGCUUAGAUAUGACAUAGAACACCAAUUGCGAAGGCAGCUUGCUACACGGCGAUUGACGCUGAUGCACGAAAGCGUGGGGAUCAAACAGGAUUAGAUACCCUGGUAGUCCACGCCCUAAACGAUGGAUACUCGACAUACGCGAUACACUGUGUGUGUCUGAGCGAAAGCAUUAAGUAUCCCACCUGGGAAGUACGACCGCAAGGUUGAAACUCAAAGGAAUUGACGG